AGGUGGUGGAAAUCGGCAGAGAUGGAGGAGGACUGGUUUCUGAGGUUGUGGAAUGGGUUUUGACGAAUUUGGAGAGUGUGUGGCUGAAUGGAGAUGUUUGUGGCUGCACAAACAUGUUUAUUUAAAGGGAUUAGGAAAUUAAAAACCCUAGACUAAUUAGGUAAUCAGGAAUUAAGUUUAAAGCUUCUAGAUUAAGGAAAACAAAUCAGAAAAUUUAAAGGAAAUAGCAAGGGAAAUUCGGCUAGGGUUAAAAACACAAAAGGAAAGUGUUUUAAAGCCUAGAAUCAGGAAAUAAGAAAGAGGAAAUACCAAGGGGGGUGCGGCAAGGGUUCAAAAGGUGCAAGAAAUGUGUAUUUGAUGUCCUAGAAUGCUUAGGAAGUCUUCAUAAUUGCCUGGAACUUUUAGGGACAAUUAGGAAAAAUCAAAACCAAAGUAGGAAACCUUGGCUUAACUUUCCUACUUCAAGUAGGAAUCCUUGUUGGAGGAGGAAUCCUUGUUCUUCUAGGAAUCCUCAUGUGAUUAGGAAUCCAUCUUCAAUUAGGAAUCCUUCGUUGAUUAGGAAUCCUUCGUCGAUUAGGAAUCCUCCUUCAUGUAAGCACUUUCCUACUUCAACUAGGAAACCUUGUUCAAGUAGGAAUCAUUAUCUUCAAGUCUUCAAAUUCGUCCAAACCUUGGCUCCAAUUAUGUGAUAAUCAUUCCAAGCCCAAUUUUGCUCCAAAAAGCUCCAAAAUGCAUCUUCUUGCAUCCUUUGGCCUUAAAACCUGAAAACACAUAAAACUAGCUUAAAAGACUACUUUAACUAAGAAAACACCAAGGAAAUGCAUAAGAACUAGCUAACUAAGGCGCAUAAAUAUGCUCGUAUCAUUUGGUUUUGGACGAAAAUAAGUAAAUUAAAACAAGAACAAUUUAAACAGAUUCUUAAGCAAAUUUAGGUGAAUUGAUGAGAUAUGGGGUAACUAGAGGGUUCUUCCCCACACAUGACACACUUGUAUUCAAAUUGAUUUCCAAUUGCUUCUCUCAAUAAGUCAUGAAACUCAAUACUCCAGGUUAACUGUGACAACACUUUUUUAACCUUCAAGUUCUCCUUAAGUUA
RNAcentral lists this long non-coding RNA (1093 nucleotides) under Malus domestica (apple). RNAcentral's name for it is "long non-coding RNA (MDOM_LNC019978)". The record is from RNAcentral. Lineage: Eukaryota; Viridiplantae; Streptophyta; Magnoliopsida; Rosales; Rosaceae.